GGUCACCCUAAGUCAGGGCAGCCAUUAACACGGGGCAAAAGGGGCAGCUGCCCGGGCCCAGUUGCUCCUGGGGGGCCCAAGGCAGCUGCCUCUUGAGCCUCGCUGCCCACAAUAAUAUGCUAAAAAUGUUCCCUCUCAAAUCCUGAUCUGAUUCAAUCCUCCACUAUUCGGCAUCGCUGCAUAUUAAAAGACUUUGUUUGCUCCUCCUCCCGACCUCCCUUGC
Pelobates cultripes (western spadefoot toad) is the source of this 223-nucleotide non-coding RNA. The record is from the annotation of a GenBank genome assembly. Lineage: Eukaryota; Metazoa; Chordata; Amphibia; Anura; Pelobatidae.